RNAcentral lists this long non-coding RNA (432 nucleotides) under Helianthus annuus (common sunflower). Its description in RNAcentral is "sRNA HanXRQr2_Chr01g0014891". Lineage: Eukaryota; Viridiplantae; Streptophyta; Magnoliopsida; Asterales; Asteraceae. The record is from RNAcentral.
GAUCGCAGGAGAAGGGGGAAAAGGGGGUGUAAACCCUAACCACAAAAAAAUCAUCAAUUGAAAAGGAAAUCGCGGGUUGAUUGUGUGCAUGAACCAAGAAUGAUGAUCCCUUAAGCGUUUCUCACAUCAAUAUGAAUGAACGUGUCAAGGAGAGGUCAAGCAUAGGAGGAUAACGGGUCAAGAUAAGGCAAGGUGACAAAUACACUUAUUGGAGUACUCGAGGUAAGUGAAUUUCGAUUCACUUUUUAGUAGGUUUAAUAGAUUUUAAUACUUAUGUUUACGAAACAUCAUGAAAGAACAUGUCAUAAUCAGAAGUACAAAGCCAAUAAUGCCUCAUUAUUGAAGAAGGUUGUAUUUAAGCCGAAAGUAAAUUGGUGGGUUUAAACGGGUCGAAUUUUAUGUGCAUAUGUUGCGUAAUGUAAUGAAAUUCGU